This 253-nucleotide ribosomal RNA is filed under the name uncultured bacterium. Its description in RNAcentral is "partial 16S ribosomal RNA". It matches the Rfam family "Bacterial small subunit ribosomal RNA", at positions 524 to 776 of the family's 1533-position model. The record is from RNAcentral.
UACGGGGGGGGCAAGCGUUGUUCGGAAUUACUGGGCGUAAAGGGCUCGUAGGCGGCCAACUAAGUCAGACGUGAAAUCCCUCGGCUUAACCGGGGAACUGCGUCUGAUACUGGAUGGCUUGAGUUCGGGAGAGGGAUGCGGAAUUCCAGGUGUAGCGGUGAAAUGCGUAGAUAUCUGGAGGAACACCGGUGGCGAAGGCGGUCUGCUGGGCAGUUUCUGACACUGAGGCGCGACAGCGUGGGGAGCAAACAGG